GAGAUGGGAGUAAUUCUAUACACAACUUUUUUUUCUUCUUAUUACCACGAUAUUUUUUCAUUGAUUGGUUGAGUAGUCAUUAAGUUCUGGAAAUUGAGUUUGUAUAGGGACACUUUUCGUUUAAUAUUCUUAAAACAAAUGUUUUUGGAUAGAAGCUAUUUUUACUUAUUUUUACCGAUCUAUUUUCUUUGUCUGAAAGUGGGU
Long non-coding RNA from Bradysia coprophila, 204 nucleotides. NCBI's taxonomy places the organism in Eukaryota, Metazoa, Arthropoda, Insecta, Diptera, Sciaridae. The record is from RefSeq and is a predicted model, not a curated record.